GUCUUUUUGAUUAUAAUUUAAAGUCUAACCUGCCCACUGAAUUUUUUGAAGGGCCGCGGUAUUUUGACUGUGCAAAGGUAGCAUAAUCAUUAGUCUUUUAAUUGGAGGCUUGUAUGAAUGGUUGGAUGAGGUAUUAACUGUCUCAAUUUAAUAAGUAAUAGAAUUUUAUUUUUAAGUUAAAAAGCUUAAAUUUAAUUAAAAGACGAGAAGACCCUAUAGAUCUUUAUAAUUUAUUUUAUAAUAAUUUUUUAGGUAAAAUUUAUUUUUAUAUAAUUAAUUAUUUUAUUGGGGUGAUAAAAAAAUUUAUAAAACUUUUUUUGUAUAUAAACACUGAUAUUUGAUUAAUUGAUCCAUUUUUUGUGAUUAUAAGAUUAAGUUACCUUAGGGAUAACAGCGUAAUUUUUUUGGAGAGUUCUUAUCGAUAAAAAAGAUUGCGACCUCGAUGUUGAAUUAAAGGUUAAUUUUAGGUGUAGAAGUUUAAAAUUUUGGUCUGUUCGACCAUUGAAUC
This 508-nucleotide ribosomal RNA is filed under the name Parachauliodes japonicus. Its description in RNAcentral is "partial large subunit ribosomal RNA". The stretch from base 387 to 508 matches the Rfam family "Bacterial large subunit ribosomal RNA", at positions 2473 to 2594 of the family's 2925-position model. Lineage: Eukaryota; Metazoa; Arthropoda; Insecta; Megaloptera; Corydalidae. The record is from RNAcentral.